CCCUUUGUAUUGUAUGCAUUUAGCCUUUCUAUGUGACAUUGAUUAGAACUGAAAUGAUUUUUAAAGAUGCUAGAUUUCUAGCUUUGCUCUUUUGGGUAUAUGAUGCCACAACUUAACGGAAACGAAUACUAGGUGCAGUAUGAUAAACCACACUGGAAAACGGGAUGUGUUUGAUCACAGCGCAAAACUUGUCUCAUGUGACUCACCCUGGGGUAAUGGCGACAGCAUUUGCGGUGGGAAGAAUACUGGGGCUGGGAGAAUUAAUCAAUACCACAGGAGUAAGGCCCAGCAAGGCAACAGGAUGUGUCUAAGUUUCUCCGGGUCAGCGGGAUUGGGGCGAGCGCUGGAAAGCAUGGUUGUGGCCUGCGGGGCCAGGCUGUUUUACCGCCCUCAUGUUCACUGUAGAGCUCGCCUCCAGACCAUGCAGAUCCUCCUCCAAGGAUCUUUCGCUGAGCCAGCGCCGGCCUUCCCACAGCCCCCUGAGUCACUGGGGAAGGCGCGCGGAGAGCCCGCCUACAAAAUCGCCUCAAUUUCCCAAACCGCGUACUCAAGAGUCCAGGACUUGUUUUGUUCCGGAGCCUCUGGCUCAGUGGCAGCUCCUGCAGAUGCAGUUACUGCCCGGGCCCAGGACACACGUGGCCUGCCACACUACCCAGCCUGCUCCUUCUGCACCUCUCCUCCCGGCCACCGCCGCACCAAGGGCGGGGACAUUUUAGCAUUCGAGGGAAAUGCACUGGAGAUCACUAGGGCCACAUGGAUUUUCUCCCCAGUGCAGCCCUAGAGCCACAGGCCGCAGUAACCCGACGCUUGACAAGUUCACCGUGCAUCCUGUUGACAAGUUCACCGCGCGCAUCCUGAAGCUGUUUUCUUUCUGACCCAAACGACAAAUCGUCAAACCAGAGGAGCCAAGGCUCUGCGACAAACCACUGGCGCGUGUGGCAGCUGCCAGAGGCCAGAGCCAGCGAUAAGACAGAUGACCAAAUUUGGCUGUUCAGAGAUCUGCCGGAGCUCAAGGAAGUUGGAAAGGAAAGGCCUGGCAUGGGGUAGGCAGGAGGCAGCAGCCUGAUGAGGUUCCCACAGGUCACCCACUGGCCCCCAGCCUGGAGGGCCCACAGACCAAACCCACUGGGGGCCGAUGUGUGGACCAGAGGCUGGUCUGUCCAGAUGUCCAGCCUGUGCUGUCAUUCCUCCCUGGAGCCCUAGAUCCUGGGCAAAGUAGCACCAUACAGUGAUGUUUUGAUGACAGACAAACUGCAGAGGUGGUGACAUCGUGGCUGUCCUAGUUUACAUCAGUCCAUUCAGUCCUUCACACAGUGACAAAAUCCCUGAAGGUAGAACUAGUGUUCAAGACCAUGUAUUCCCCUGUCUCUCUGAAGUUCAUGCACACAGCCCCCUUCAAAGAUGCCCUCGGUGAAUCCAGGGUCUUCACGCCUGAGUGAGCUACCUCCUCAGCCAUUUUUAUUUUAUUUCAUUUCUUUUCUUUUGAGAUAGGGUCUUGGUAAGUUGCCCAGACCUGGUUUGAACUUGUGGUCCUCCUGCCCCAGCCUCCCAGAGUGCUGGGAUUACAGGCCUGGGCCACCACACAGACUGGGCUAAUUAUUUUUUAACAGAGAAAGGGAGAGAGGGCCUAUUGGUCACCAGGCAGAAAGAGGAGAAAAGGGCGGGAGGGAGGAAGUUCAUUCACUUCGGAGAUAACUGGACACCGAUGAAUUGUUAACUGGAAUCUAUAGAGGAUGAGAAGCUUUGAAGCAGUUUUUUCUUUCCUGGUUAAAAAAAAAAUAAAAAUAACAACAAAAAAAAUCCCACCUUUCAGGUGUUAAUCUUUCUAAAUUACUUUAUUGAUUUCCUCCCUUAGUUACUAAGGUCUAAUAGCCUUUGUAGGUAUCUGAUGACCAUAGACUGUUAAAGAUAUAGCAAUCAUGUUAUAAAAGAUUGUUCUGAACCC
Heterocephalus glaber (naked mole-rat) is the source of this 1945-nucleotide long non-coding RNA. Lineage: Eukaryota; Metazoa; Chordata; Mammalia; Rodentia; Bathyergidae. The record is from Ensembl.